GUUGGAGUGGCAGAUCCCGGCUAUUGCAAAAGACCUAAGCCCUUUACAAGGAGGUUCAAAUCCUCCCUCCAACU
This 74-nucleotide transfer RNA is filed under the name Diplacanthopoma brachysoma. RNAcentral's name for it is "tRNA-Leu". It matches the Rfam family "tRNA". From Rfam's summary of the family: Transfer RNA (tRNA) molecules are approximately 80 nucleotides in length. Their secondary structure includes four short double-helical elements and three loops (D, anti-codon, and T loops). The record is from RNAcentral. Lineage: Eukaryota; Metazoa; Chordata; Actinopteri; Ophidiiformes; Bythitidae.